This 540-nucleotide ribosomal RNA is filed under the name uncultured bacterium. RNAcentral's name for it is "bacterial SSU rRNA". It matches the Rfam family "Bacterial small subunit ribosomal RNA", at positions 355 to 896 of the family's 1533-position model. The record is from RNAcentral.
UGAGGAAUAUUGGUCAAUGGGCGCAAGCCUGAACCAGCCAAGUAGCGUGCAGGAAGACGGCCCUAUGGGUUGUAAACUGCUUUUAUACGAGAAUAAUNUGAUGCACGUGUGCGUUAUUGCAUGUAUCGUAUGAAUAAGGACCGGCUAAUUCCGUGCCAGCAGCCGCGGUAAUACGGAAGGUCCAGGCGUUAUCCGGAUUUAUUGGGUUUAAAGGGAGUGUAGGCGGUUUGUUAAGCGUGUUGUGAAAUUUAGAUGCUCAACAUUUAACUUGCAGCGCGAACUGUCAGACUUGAGUACACGCAACGUAUGCGGAAUUCAUGGUGUAGCGGUGAAAUGCUUAGAUAUCAUGAAGAACUCCGAUUGCGAAGGCAGCAUACGGGAGUGUAACUGACGCUUAAGCUCGAAGGUGCGGGUAUCGAACAGGAUUAGAUACCCUGGUAGUCCGCACAGUAAACGAUGGAUGCCCGCUGUUGGCGCCUGGUGUUAGCGGCUAAGCGAAAGCAUUAAGCAUCCCACCUGGGGAGUACGCCGGCAACGGUG